UUAGUCCUAACCUUACCGUUAAUUUUUGCUAAACAUAUACAUGCAAGUAUCCGCGCUCCAGUGUAAAUACCCUCAAAGUCUUAUCAAGACUCAAGGAGUGGGCAUCAGGCACACUCACAAUUGUAGCCCAAGACGCCUUGCUCAGCCACGCCCCCACGGGUACUCAGCAGUAAUUAACAUUAAGCAAUAAGUGUAAACUUGACUUAGUUAUAGCAACCCUCAGGGUUGGUCAAUCUUGUGCCAGCCACCGCGGUCACACAAGAAACCCAAAUUAACUGUAAUACGGCGUAAAGCGUGACAUUAUGCUAUCUCCCUAGCUAGGAUCAAAAUACAACUAAGCCGUCAUAAGCCCAUGAUGUACCCAAAACCAACCUAAAAACGAUCCCAGCCCUAAUGAUCAAUUAACCGUCACGAAAGCUAGAAUACAAACUGGGAUUAGAUACCCCACUAUGCCUAGCCCUAAAUCCUGAUACUUCCCCCACCAAAGUAUUCGCCCGAGAACUACGAGCACAAACGCUUAAAACUCUAAGGACUUGGCGGUGCCCCAAACCCACCUAGAGGAGCCUGUUCUAUAAUCGAUAACCCACGAUACACCCGACCACCCCUUGCCAAAGCAGCCUACAUACCGCCGUCGUCAGUUCACCUCCCCUGAGAGAACAACAGUGGACAUAAUAGCCCCACCCGCUAAUAAGACAGGUCAAGGUAUAGCUCAUGGAGUGGAAGAAAUGGGCUACAUUUUCUAAAGUAGAAAACCACGGAAAGAGAUAUGAAACCAUCUCUGGAAGGC
RNAcentral lists this non-coding RNA (787 nucleotides) under Cypsiurus balasiensis (Asian palm-swift). Lineage: Eukaryota; Metazoa; Chordata; Aves; Apodiformes; Apodidae. The record is from RNAcentral.